This 253-nucleotide ribosomal RNA is filed under the name uncultured bacterium. Its description in RNAcentral is "partial 16S ribosomal RNA". It matches the Rfam family "Bacterial small subunit ribosomal RNA", at positions 524 to 776 of the family's 1533-position model. The record is from RNAcentral.
UACGUAGGGGGCAAGCGUUGUCCGGAAUUAUUGGGCGUAAAGAGCGUGUAGGCGGUCCGGUAAGUCAGCUGUGAAAGUCAAGGGCUCAACCCUUGAAUGCCGGUUGAUACUGUCGGGCUAGAGUCCGGAAGAGGCGAGUGGAAUUCCCAGUGUAGCGGUGAAAUGCGUAGAUAUUGGGAGGAACACCAGUGGCGAAGGCGGCUACCUGGACCGGUACUGACGCUGAGGCGCGAAAGCGUGGGUAGCAAACAGG